RNAcentral lists this ribosomal RNA (793 nucleotides) under uncultured Haemophilus sp. RNAcentral describes it as "bacterial SSU rRNA". It matches the Rfam family "Bacterial small subunit ribosomal RNA", at positions 66 to 850 of the family's 1533-position model. Lineage: Bacteria; Pseudomonadati; Pseudomonadota; Gammaproteobacteria; Pasteurellales; Pasteurellaceae. The record is from RNAcentral.
ACGGUAACAGGAGAAAGCUUGCUUUCUUGCUGACGAGUGGCGGACGGGUGAGUAAUGCUUGGGAAUCUGGCUUAUGGAGGGGGAUAACGACGGGAAACUGUCGCUAAUACCGCGUAGUGUCGAGAGACGAAAGUGCGGGACUGAGAGGCCGCAUGCCAUAGGAUGAGCCCAAGUGGGAUUAGGUAGUUGGUGGGGUAAAGGCCUACCAAGCCUGCGAUCUCUAGCUGGUCUGAGAGGAUGACCAGCCACACUGGAACUGAGACACGGUCCAGACUCCUACGGGAGGCAGCAGUGGGGAAUAUUGCGCAAUGGGGGGAACCCUGACGCAGCCAUGCCGCGUGAAUGAAGAAGGCCUUCGGGUUGUAAAGUUCUUUCGGUAUUGAGGAAGGUUGAUGUGUUAAUAGCACAUCAAAUUGACGUUAAAUACAGAAGAAGCACCGGCUAACUCCGUGCCAGCAGCCGCGGUAAUACGGAGGGUGCGAGCGUUAAUCGGAAUAACUGGGCGUAAAGGGCACGCAGGCGGUUAUUUAAGUGAGGUGUGAAAGCCCCGGGCUUAACCUGGGAAUUGCAUUUCAGACUGGGUAACUAGAGUACUUUAGGGAGGGGUAGAAUUCCACGUGUAGCGGUGAAAUGCGUAGAGAUGUGGAGGAAUACCGAAGGCGAAGGCAGCCCCUUGGGAAUGUACUGACGCUCAUGUGCGAAAGCGUGGGGAGCAAACAGGAUUAGAUACCCUGGUAGUCCACGCUGUAAACGCUGUCGAUUUGGGGGUUGGGGUUUAACUCUGGCGCCCGUA